Molecule: ribosomal RNA, 1554 nt
Filed under: Staphylococcus aureus
Lineage: Bacteria; Bacillati; Bacillota; Bacilli; Caryophanales; Staphylococcaceae
Description: 16S ribosomal RNA
Rfam family: Bacterial small subunit ribosomal RNA
Source: RNAcentral
UUUAUGGAGAGUUUGAUCCUGGCUCAGGAUGAACGCUGGCGGCGUGCCUAAUACAUGCAAGUCGAGCGAACGGACGAGAAGCUUGCUUCUCUGAUGUUAGCGGCGGACGGGUGAGUAACACGUGGAUAACCUACCUAUAAGACUGGGAUAACUUCGGGAAACCGGAGCUAAUACCGGAUGAUAUUUUGAACCGCAUGGUUCAAAAGUGAAAGACGGUCUUGCUGUCACUUAUAGAUGGAUCCGCGCUGCAUUAGCUAGUUGGUAAGGUAACGGCUUACCAAGGCAACGAUGCAUAGCCGACCUGAGAGGGUGAUCGGCCACACUGGAACUGAGACACGGUCCAGACUCCUACGGGAGGCAGCAGUAGGGAAUCUUCCGCAAUGGGCGAAAGCCUGACGGAGCAACGCCGCGUGAGUGAUGAAGGUCUUCGGAUCGUAAAACUCUGUUAUUAGGGAAGAACAUAUGUGUAAGUAACUGUGCACAUCUUGACGGUACCUAAUCAGAAAGCCACGGCUAACUACGUGCCAGCAGCCGCGGUAAUACGUAGGUGGCAAGCGUUAUCCGGAAUUAUUGGGCGUAAAGCGCGCGUAGGCGGUUUUUUAAGUCUGAUGUGAAAGCCCACGGCUCAACCGUGGAGGGUCAUUGGAAACUGGAAAACUUGAGUGCAGAAGAGGAAAGUGGAAUUCCAUGUGUAGCGGUGAAAUGCGCAGAGAUAUGGAGGAACACCAGUGGCGAAGGCGACUUUCUGGUCUGUAACUGACGCUGAUGUGCGAAAGCGUGGGGAUCAAACAGGAUUAGAUACCCUGGUAGUCCACGCCGUAAACGAUGAGUGCUAAGUGUUAGGGGGUUUCCGCCCCUUAGUGCUGCAGCUAACGCAUUAAGCACUCCGCCUGGGGAGUACGACCGCAAGGUUGAAACUCAAAGGAAUUGACGGGGACCCGCACAAGCGGUGGAGCAUGUGGUUUAAUUCGAAGCAACGCGAAGAACCUUACCAAAUCUUGACAUCCUUUGACAACUCUAGAGAUAGAGCCUUCCCCUUCGGGGGACAAAGUGACAGGUGGUGCAUGGUUGUCGUCAGCUCGUGUCGUGAGAUGUUGGGUUAAGUCCCGCAACGAGCGCAACCCUUAAGCUUAGUUGCCAUCAUUAAGUUGGGCACUCUAAGUUGACUGCCGGUGACAAACCGGAGGAAGGUGGGGAUGACGCCAAAUCAUCAUGCCCCUUAUGAUUUGGGCUACACACGUGCUACAAUGGACAAUACAAAGGGCAGCGAAACCGCGAGGUCAAGCAAAUCCCAUAAAGUUGUUCUCAGUUCGGAUUGUAGUCUGCAACUCGACUACAUGAAGCUGGAAUCGCUAGUAAUCGUAGAUCAGCAUGCUACGGUGAAUACGUUCCCGGGUCUUGUACACACCGCCCGUCACACCACGAGAGUUUGUAACACCCGAAGCCGGUGGAGUAACCUUUUAGGAGCUAGCCGUCGAAGGUGGGACAAAUGAUUGGGGUGAAGUCGUAACAAGGUAGCCGUAUCGGAAGGUGCGGCUGGAUCACCUCCUUUCU